RNAcentral lists this ribosomal RNA (580 nucleotides) under uncultured bacterium. RNAcentral's name for it is "bacterial SSU rRNA". It matches the Rfam family "Bacterial small subunit ribosomal RNA", at positions 269 to 864 of the family's 1533-position model. The record is from RNAcentral.
CAAGCCGACGACGGGUAGGGGGCGUGAGAGCGUGGCCCCCCACACGGGAACUGAGACACGGUCCCGACGCCUACGGGCGGCAGCAGUGAGGAAUCUUGCCCAAUGGGGGAAACCCUGAGGCAGCGACACCGCGUGCGGGAUGAAGGCCUUCGGGUCGUAAACCGCUUUUCUGGGGGACGAGUAAGGACGGUACUCCAGGAAUAAGUCCCGGCUAACUACGUGCCAGCAGCCGCGGUAAAACGUAGGGGGCGAGCGUUAUCCGGAAUCACUGGGCGUAAAGGGCGUCUAGGCGGCAGCCUAAGUCCCGUGUGAAAGCUCCCGGCUCAACUGGGAGAGGGCAUGGGAGACUGGGCAGCUAGAGACUCGGAGGGGGGUGUGGAAUUCCCGGUGGAGUGGUGGAAUGCGUUGAGAUCGGGAGGAACACCAGUAGCGAAGGCGGCACCCUGGCCGAGAUCUGACGCUGAAGCGCGAGAGCGUGGGGAGCGAACGGGAUUAGAUACCCCGGUAGUCCACGCCGUAAACGAUGACAACUAGGUGUUGGGUGUCCAAGGAUGCUCAGUACCGCAGCAAACGCGAUAAG